UACGGGGGAUGCAAGCGUUAUCCGGAUUUAUUGGGCGUAAAGCGCCUGUAGGUUGUUUAAUAAGUCUGUUGUUAAAGACUAGGGCUCAACCCUGGGAAAGCAAUGGAAACUGAUAAACUUGAGUAUGGCAGGGGUAGAGGGAAUUUCUAGUGUAGCGGUGAAAUGCGUAGAUAUUAGAAAGAACACCGGUGGCGAAAGCGCUCUACUGGACCAUUACUGACACUCAGAGGCGAAAGCUAGGGUAGCAAAUGGG
This 253-nucleotide ribosomal RNA is filed under the name uncultured bacterium. RNAcentral describes it as "partial 16S ribosomal RNA". It matches the Rfam family "Bacterial small subunit ribosomal RNA", at positions 524 to 776 of the family's 1533-position model. The record is from RNAcentral.